Molecule: long non-coding RNA, 1183 nt
Organism: Piliocolobus tephrosceles (Ugandan red Colobus)
Lineage: Eukaryota; Metazoa; Chordata; Mammalia; Primates; Cercopithecidae
Exons: 3
Source: RefSeq, a predicted model, not a curated record
UCAGGUCACACCCGGCCUCAUGGGCUUCGAUAAGGACUGAGACUUUAACCUAGAGUGACCUGAGGGUUUAGAGCAGAGAGGUGAUGUGAUCAGACUGCUCUCACUACCAUGUCGAGAACAGGCCACAGAGAAGCAAGGGCAGGGGCAAGAAGGCCAGAAAGGACACUACCUAAAGUGUUCGGGAGAGACCAGAUGAAGAAACUGAAUCACAAAGAAGCUAAAUAACUUGGCUCAAGGUCAUGCAGCUGGUAACAGCAUGAAGAUCCUUAGAUCUCUGGCACAAAAUCUUCCAGAGGAAGAACCUAGCUGCAGAACCCACAGGAUGUCUAGUGUGUCAGUGACAACUGUGAUUCUCUUGAGGCCAGUGUGUUGUCUUAGCCUAACUGACUGGGCUAGGGAAAUAUUUCAGUGGUUCCUGAGGCUGAAACCAUACACACCGCCACCCCGUUGCAGGGCUCUCGCCCUUACCUUCAGUCUCUGCACGAUCUCCCUUAUGUCCUCCACAGAGCCCUCUGUCGCCUGUAGGAAGAUGUGGUCCCCUCGUCCAUAGAAUAUUUUGAGUGUGGAGGAGUCUGGAGUCCAGCCAAUGACAUCCCCGCAGUAGCAGUUGAACACCACCUCCUUGGUGCGUAGGUCCAGGAGCACCACAAACUCAUUGGAAAUUCCCAAAAUGCAGUCGAUUUCCACCCCCUGGGCAUAGUCCUGGGCUGCCACCCUCCAGGCGAUGGCCCCUGCGCUGUGCUGCUCAGCGCCGGCCCGUGCUUUUGUCUUUUCCUUCUUCUUGGAGGUCAGGGAGAUGAGGUUGAAUUUGCCGGUGGAGUCGAUGGGGGUGUUGGAGACACAGUUUUCGGCCAGGUCCUUGAGAUACUCCUGGCGGGUCCUGGUGGCCAUGGUGUGGAACUUGUCGGACUUGUGCGCAGCAUUCUCAGCGUUAAUCACCUUGGCCAGCAAGAAGUCUCUGAAGACGUCGGAUUUGCGGAAUGUGGUUCCACUGGGGAUGGGGGGGCCGAAAGGAGGAGCGUCUUUGGAUCGGGUCACAGCCAUACUGUGGAGGGAGAGAUUAUUUAGAUGGUGGGAAGAAAGGCUCUAAGACACUUUAGAAAGAAAAUAUUCGAUCAAAAAAUAGGAAUAGGGUUUUUUUGUUUGUUUUAUCGAGACAGGUCUCACUCUGUCACCCAGGCUG